This 253-nucleotide ribosomal RNA is filed under the name uncultured bacterium. RNAcentral describes it as "partial 16S ribosomal RNA". It matches the Rfam family "Bacterial small subunit ribosomal RNA", at positions 524 to 776 of the family's 1533-position model. The record is from RNAcentral.
UACGUAGGAUCCAAGCGUUGUCCGGAUUUACUGGGUGUAAAGGGUGCGCAGGCGGACUUAUAAGUCAGAGGUGAAAUCUCACUGCUCAACAGUGAAACUGCCUUUGAUACUGUAGGUCUUGAAUUAGGGAGAGAUUCGUGGAAUUCCGAGUGUAGCAGUGAAAUGUGUAGAUAUUCGGAAGAACACCAGUGGCGAAGGCAGCGAAUUGGCCCUAUAUUGACGCUCAGGCACGAAAGCAUGGGGAUCAAACAGG